This 472-nucleotide ribosomal RNA is filed under the name uncultured bacterium. RNAcentral's name for it is "bacterial SSU rRNA". It matches the Rfam family "Bacterial small subunit ribosomal RNA", at positions 355 to 825 of the family's 1533-position model. The record is from RNAcentral.
UGGGGAAUUUUGGACAAUGGGGGCAACCCUGAUCCAGCAAUGCCGCGUGAGUGAAGAAGGCCUUCGGGUUGUAAAGCUCUUUUGUCAGGGAAGAAACGGUAGUAGCGAAUAACUAUUACUAAUGACGGUACCUGAAGAAUAAGCACCGGCUAACUACGUGCCAGCAGCCGCGGUAAUACGUAGGGUGCAAGCGUUAAUCGGAAUUACUGGGCGUAAAGCGUGCGCAGGCGGUUGUGUAAGUCAGAUGUGAAAUCCCCGGGCUCAACCUGGGAAUUGCAUUUGAGACUGCACGGCUAGAGUGUGUCAGAGGGGGGUAGAAUUCCACGUGUAGCAGUGAAAUGCGUAGAUAUGUGGAGGAAUACCGAUGGCGAAGGCAGCCCCCUGGGAUAACACUGACGCUCAUGCACGAAAGCGUGGGGAGCAAACAGGAUUAGAUACCCACGUAGUCCCUGAGCGGGCUGGCAAGGCGCAU